This 557-nucleotide ribosomal RNA is filed under the name Devosia sp. BvIRR026. RNAcentral describes it as "bacterial SSU rRNA". It matches the Rfam family "Bacterial small subunit ribosomal RNA", at positions 102 to 694 of the family's 1533-position model. Lineage: Bacteria; Pseudomonadati; Pseudomonadota; Alphaproteobacteria; Hyphomicrobiales; Devosiaceae. The record is from RNAcentral. RNAcentral also lists the same sequence under 1 other name.
ACGGGUGAGUAACGCGUGGGAAUCUACCCAGAUCUACGGAACAACAGUUGGAAACGACUGCUAAUACCGUAUACGCCCUACGGGGGAAAGAUUUAUCGGAUUUGGAUGAGCCCGCGUAAGAUUAGCUAGUUGGUGAGGUAAUGGCUCACCAAGGCGACGAUCUUUAGCUGGUCUGAGAGGAUGAUCAGCCACACUGGGACUGAGACACGGCCCAGACUCCUACGGGAGGCAGCAGUGGGGAAUAUUGGACAAUGGGCGCAAGCCUGAUCCAGCCAUGCCGCGUGAGUGAUGAAGGCCUUAGGGUUGUAAAGCUCUUUCAGUAGGGAAGAUAAUGACGGUACCUACAGAAGAAGCCCCGGCUAACUUCGUGCCAGCAGCCGCGGUAAUACGAAGGGGGCUAGCGUUGUUCGGAUUUACUGGGCGUAAAGCGCACGUAGGCGGUUUGUUAAGUGAGAGGUGAAAUCCCAGAGCUCAACUCUGGAACUGCCUUUCAUACUGGCAAGCUAGAGUCCGGAAGAGGUAAGUGGAACUCCUAGUGUAGAGGUGGAAUUCGUAGA